GACGAACGCUGGCGGCGUGCUUAACACAUGCAAGUCGAACGAUGAAGGCUGGAGCUUGCUCCGGCUGGAUUAGUGGCGAACGGGUGAGUAACACGUGAGCAAUCUGCCCUUGACUCUGGGAUAACUCCGAGAAAUCGGUGCUAAUACCGGAUAUGACCCUUGGCGGCAUCGCUGGGGUGGAAAGUUUUUCGGUCAAGGAUGAGCUCGCGGCCUAUCAGCUUGUUGGUGAGGUAAUGGCUCACCAAGGCGACGACGGGUAGCCGGCCUGAGAGGGUGACCGGCCACACUGGGACUGAGACACGGCCCAGACUCCUACGGGAGGCAGCAGUGGGGAAUAUUGCACAAUGGGCGCAAGCCUGAUGCAGCAACGCCGCGUGGGGGAUGACGGCCUUCGGGUUGUAAACCUCUUUUAGCAGGGAAGAAGCGAAAGUGACGGUACCUGCAGAAAAAGCACCGGCUAACUACGUGCCAGCCGCCGCAGUAA
This 484-nucleotide ribosomal RNA is filed under the name uncultured bacterium. Its description in RNAcentral is "partial 16S ribosomal RNA". It matches the Rfam family "Bacterial small subunit ribosomal RNA", at positions 28 to 523 of the family's 1533-position model. The record is from RNAcentral.